CSGGGGGKWWUUCCCCCAUASCUAACRGCGAGUGAACCGGGAAGAGCUCAAAUUUGAAAUCUGGCGUGCUCAGUGCGUCCGAGUUGUAAUCUAUAGAGUCGUUUUCCGUGCCGGACUGUGUCCAAGUCCCUUGGAACAGGGUAUCAAAGAGGGUGAUAAUCCCGUACUUGACACAAUGACCGGUGCUCUGUGAUACGUCUUCUACGAGUCGAGUUGUUUGGGAAUGCAGCUCAAAAUGGGUGGUGAGUUCCAUCUAAAGCUAAAUAUUGGCGAGAGACCGAUAGCGAACAAGUACCGUGAGGGAAAGAUGAAAAGCACUUUGGAAAGAGAGUUAAACAGUACGUGAAAUUGUUAAAAGGGAAACGAUUGAAGUCAGUCGUGACUGAGAGGCUCAGCCGGUUCUGCCGGUGUAUUCCCCUCAGUCGGGUCAACAUCAGUUUUGUUCGGUGAAUAAGGGCAGUUGGAAGGUGGCACCCUCGGGUGUGUUAUAGCCAGCUGUCGCAUACAUCGGAUGAGACUGAGGAAUGCAGCUCGCCUUUAUGGCCGGGGUUCGCCCACGUUCGAGCUUAGGAUGUUGACAUAAUGGCUUUAAACGACCCGUCUUGAAACACGGGACC
RNAcentral lists this ribosomal RNA (617 nucleotides) under Cryptococcus sp. HX-2006a. Its description in RNAcentral is "eukaryotic LSU rRNA". It matches the Rfam family "Eukaryotic large subunit ribosomal RNA", at positions 69 to 664 of the family's 3401-position model. Lineage: Eukaryota; Fungi; Basidiomycota; Tremellomycetes; Tremellales; Cryptococcaceae. The record is from RNAcentral.